Molecule: unclassified non-coding RNA, 540 nt
Filed under: Neonectria candida
Lineage: Eukaryota; Fungi; Ascomycota; Sordariomycetes; Hypocreales; Nectriaceae
Description: sequence contains ITS1, 5.8S rRNA gene and ITS2
Rfam family: 5.8S ribosomal RNA (bases 183-336)
Source: RNAcentral
AAGUCGUAACAAGGUCUCCGUUGGUGAACCAGCGGAGGGAUCAUUACCGAGUUUACAACUCCCAAACCCCUGUGAACAUACCUAUCGUUGCCUCGGCGGUGCCCGCUCCGGCGGCCCGCCAGAGGACCCCCAAACUCUUGUUUUAUACAGUAUCUUCUGAGUAACACGAUUAAAUAAAUCAAAACUUUCAACAACGGAUCUCUUGGUUCUGGCAUCGAUGAAGAACGCAGCGAAAUGCGAUAAGUAAUGUGAAUUGCAGAAUUCAGUGAAUCAUCGAAUCUUUGAACGCACAUUGCGCCCGCCAGUAUUCUGGCGGGCAUGCCUGUUCGAGCGUCAUUUCAACCCUCAAGCCCCCGGGCUUGGUGUUGGGGAUCGGCGUGCCCUCGCGGCGCGCCGUCCCCUAAAUCUAGUGGCGGUCUCGCUGUAGCUUCCUCUGCGUAGUAGCAACACUCGCACUGGAUCGCAGCGCGGCCACGCCGUUAAACCCCCCACUUCUGAAAGUUUGACCUCGGAUCAGGUAGGAAUACCCGCUGAACUUAA